UAGCAUAUAAGCACAGUGGCACUUUGUGCAUGUACAACUUCCUCCUGCUUGGAGCUUGAUUUGGCUGGGGCUGAUGGUCAUUUGAUUGGUGCUGGCGUGCCAUUUUAUGCAGUCUCCCCCUUCUCCAGCACUUCUGGUGCAUUAGUGAGGAGCUAUUGGAAACAGCAUUGAAUUAUCACAGCCCUUUGUGGCUUUGUGGCUCUGCCAACUUAUAACGCUCCUGCAAUUCGACCUCAGCAGGGUGAUGUCUGUAUGCAGGGCACCUGAGUGUGUGUGGGGUAUCCUUCUGGUGGUGGAGUGCUCCUGUGAAUGCUCCCCUCCUGUCUGUCACUCGUUGUUUGCUCACAACCAGUAUUUCCUCGUCUUGGAGCUCCUAUCUUAUAUAUUUCUUUUUUCAUUUGUUUAUUUUAGAUUUAUAUUAAUAAACCAGUGUUCUUAUGUUCUUAUCAAUUAAUGUCUCAUCUCAAACCCAUGUCUCUGGAUGUCCUUCAGGCUUAUGCCUGGUUCACACUACACGAUUUUAGCCUGGUUUUUCAGUCACCGACUGUUUUUUGUAGAUCGCCGACAGAAACCUGUGGUCGGAGGCAAAUGUAGUGUGAACAGCUGAAAGACACUCGCCGAGUGGUCGCCGACUAAUCGGAGACGCCUGGCAAAUAUCUAGCAUGUUUAAUAUCCAGCCCAGUCGGCAACAGCAGCGUCUAGCUACAGCCAAUGGGAACGCGUAGAGAGAGAACCGCGUCACCGUCAAAAAAUAACGAAAAUAUGGAGUACAUGUACAUAUACACAUGCUUUCUCACAGUACAAACAGACAGGUACGUUUUCAUUGAUAAAAUAUUCACCUCCAACUCUCUCUGCAGAACAGACAGUCCCUGCUGGCCCUGUGCCUUUAUCCAUCGUCUCCUCCAUAUUCGUUCCCUUUUCUUCUUUCUUUUCUCACUACAAAUCAGCGCGGUGACAACUCAGAUUGCUUGUUUUUCACAUCUUCUAUGUGGUAUUGCUAGUUCUCACGAGAGUUUAGUUUUCGUGUGUUCUCUUGUUUUUGGACAGCAGCCAGAUGAGUCGGCGUUUCCCCAGGGUGAAAGUCGUUUAAUUCGUCAGCCCGUGUCGCCGAUCAGUCAUGUAGU
Pygocentrus nattereri (red-bellied piranha) is the source of this 1124-nucleotide long non-coding RNA. RefSeq lists it as uncharacterized. The transcript is spliced from 2 exons. Lineage: Eukaryota; Metazoa; Chordata; Actinopteri; Characiformes; Serrasalmidae. The record is from RefSeq and is a predicted model, not a curated record.